This is a long non-coding RNA of Rattus norvegicus (Norway rat), 564 nucleotides long. RefSeq lists it as uncharacterized. NCBI's taxonomy places the organism in Eukaryota, Metazoa, Chordata, Mammalia, Rodentia, Muridae. The record is from RefSeq and is a predicted model, not a curated record.
GGGAGUACUUAUGGGAAAGAGAGGGUGACCCCCUGGGGCCCUGUCCUUCCACCUUGCACACAGCCCUCAUGUGCAGAAUGAGAAGGAGUGAGACUCGAAUGAUGCCAUCGUAAAGGACUCCCUGAAGUGGCAGAGAGAGCUGGUUUAUGAAGCAAAAUCAACAAGUUGUAAGACUUCAGGCCCCCAUGUACCUGGGGAAGUGCAGAAUAUAUUUCCACCUAGGAGCAAGACCUGACGGCCCAAUGUAUCUGUUACCCACCAGGCUCUGUGUCCAGCAGCUUCGGAAGGAUUCAGCUCCACAUGCCAAAUAAGAGAAGAGAAGGAGCCAGUGUUAUCAAGGAGGUGCCAUUAUCCAAUUCAUGCCAGAGACACUCAGAUCCAAGGCCCACGGCGGACAGAAGAAAACUGGAGAAAUCCAAGACAGGACCUGGCAGCUGAGAGCCCAUCUGUCUUCCCACCACAGCCACAUACACCGCCUCAGAGCUGGGCAGCAAUUACGCUUCACGGUUAUUUAAGGAGCCAUUAAAAUAAGUUCUGAAAUAAACCAUUGUGUAAUUGUCUAAA